UUAUAUAAAAUACGUUUGUUCUCUUUCGAAAUUACUCAUUUUUUGUUUAAUUAAUUGUAUUAGUUGAAUAAAUGUAUACAAAAUAUGUGUACUGCGCAUGCCAUAAGUGUAUAAUCUAUGGCGCAUGCGUCAACUAUAAUGCCUAAACUUUCUACGCGGUUUUAAUCGUGAAAAAAAAACAAUUAUAAAUCCUGAAGGAUCGAUUAAUUGGUAUACAGUUUAAUUAAAAAAAUUAAAAAAUAAAUAAAUAAAAUAAUGUGCAUUCGCGUAAAGUUAGACCAAAUACAUUUUUUCCAUCCUCCUAUAUACCUAUCGCUAUGAAGGUAUAAAAAAGAUAGGUUAAGAGUUCACAUAGCUGGAAAACUACAUGGAGAAUUAUAUGCAAUACAAGAUAAUGAGCUCCAUUAAAUGAAUUCGAAUGAAACCAAACUGUUUACCAUCCAAAUUCGAUUGUCGGGCAGAUAGAAAACGAAAAUUCACUCAUAGUGAACCUCGGCCUGCAUUUGUGAAACGGCAAAGACUCACUAUUAUCAAGGAAAUUGAAGAGACGACUAAAAAUGAGAUGUGUCGUAUUAUUAUACCUUUGCCAUCUUGUAGUCAAGAUGUCCAGCCACUUGAAAAUAGGUGUAGUAAUGACAAAGCUAUCCAAGUAGCUCCAGCACAGUAACACAAAGGCAAGGCAAGUGUGUAUUGCCACAUCACCCCUUAAUAUAUCUGAAGCAAGUAUAAGUAAACAAUCAGAACCAGCAAAAAAAAAACUGUUGUUCCUGAGGACAAAUUUGACAGUGACGAGUCAAAUGCACCAGCAACAGAAGGAUCAACUGUUGACUAUGGGUUAUAGAAGAAGAAGAUGAAUUCAUAUUUAUUUAAAUUAAUAUUAAUGAAUAUUAAUUUAAAUUAUCGUGCAAAAUUCGUGGUCAAAACAUAUGUGUAUUUUAUAAAUAAAUAUUCAUUCUCAGCAAAAGAA
Long non-coding RNA from Bombyx mori (domestic silkworm), 967 nucleotides. RefSeq lists it as uncharacterized. The record is from RefSeq and is a predicted model, not a curated record. Lineage: Eukaryota; Metazoa; Arthropoda; Insecta; Lepidoptera; Bombycidae. The transcript is spliced from 3 exons.